AGUGAACGCUGGCGGUAGGCUUAACACAUGCAAGUCGAACGGCAGCACAGUAAGAGCUUGCUCUUACGGGUGGCGAGUGGCGGACGGGUGAGGAAUGCAUCGGAAUCUACUUUUUCGUGGGGGAUAACGUAGGUAAACUUACGCUAAUACCGCAUACGACUUACGGGUGUAAGCAUGGGAUCUUUUGACCUUGAGCGAUUGAAUGAGCGGAUGUCGGAUUAGCUAGUUGGCGGGGUAAAGGCCCACCACGGCGACGAUCCGUAGCUGGUCUGAGAGGAUGUUCGACCACCCGGGAACGGAACCGGGGUCCAGAGCCCUACGGUAGGCAGCAGUGGGGUAUAUUAGACAAUGGGCGGAAGCAUGAUCCAGCCAAACCGCGUCGGUGGAGAAGGCCUUGGGGUUGGAAAGCCCUUUUGUUGGGAAAGAAAAGCAGCAGGUUAAUACGCCGCCGUUCUGACGGUACCCAAAGAAUAAGCACCGGCUAACUUCGUG
RNAcentral lists this ribosomal RNA (492 nucleotides) under uncultured bacterium. RNAcentral describes it as "partial 16S ribosomal RNA". It matches the Rfam family "Bacterial small subunit ribosomal RNA", at positions 29 to 507 of the family's 1533-position model. The record is from RNAcentral.